This 5091-nucleotide long non-coding RNA is filed under the name Solanum tuberosum (potato). Its description in RNAcentral is "long non-coding RNA (STUB_LNC003188)". The record is from RNAcentral. Lineage: Eukaryota; Viridiplantae; Streptophyta; Magnoliopsida; Solanales; Solanaceae.
GUUGAGAAGCUAGUAAAAUGUACAGCUGUCACUUAGUUCUAACAGACUAGUUAAGUAAGUUAACAAAUUUAGUUUGUUAGAAUCUGUUAGCUUAUUAACUGACUGUAUAUAUAGAUGAGAUAGUAUUAGAAUGAAUGCAGUAGUAAGAAUGAUUCUCUUGUAAAGACUUUCAGUGUUGAAGAAGAAGUUUUCUCUCCAUUGUCAAGCAAGCUAAUCUUCUAUUCAUUACUGCAGUAUCUCAAUUUUCUGAUCUUAACAUGGUAUCAAAGCAUGGGCGAAUGUUCUAGGAGCUUGUCGUCUUGCUGAUUUUUUUUGUUAUCUCGCUUGUUUCAUCGUUCGAUCAUCGUUCGAUCAUCGUUCGAUCAUCGCGAUUGAGGAAGAAUCUGGAGGAUCGGGUAGCAGACUUCAAGGAGAAGCCAUUACUGGAAGCUCGGUGAUGAUUGAUCACAAUCAUCCACUGUUUUUGAGUUCAUCGGAUGUACCAGGAGCACUAUCAAUAGGGAUCCAAUUGACAGGGAUGGAGAAUUAUACCCUGUGGAGUCGGGCUAUGGAGAUUGCAUUGCUUGGACGGAACAAAUUGGGAUUCAUUGAUGGCUCUGUUUUGCGCACUGAUUUUGAAGGAAAUUUGAAGAAAAAUUGGGAUCGAUGCAAUGCAGUGGUCAUCUCUUGGUUAAUCUGUAAUGUUAGUAAGGAGUUACUAUCUGGAAUCUUAUACUCAACCAGUGCUUACCAGGUAUGGCUUGAUCUUAAGGAGCGUUUCGAUAAAAUCAAUGGAUCUAGACUCUAUCAAUUGCAUAGGACCAUUUUCACUCUUACACAGGGAGUCUCAACAGUUUCAACUUAUUUCACCAAAUUGAAAAAUUUGUGGGAUGAAUAUGAUUCUAUUUUACCCCCACCUAGUUGUGAUUGUCAUAAGGCUAAGGAGUAUGUUGAACAGAUGCAGUAUCAGCGUCUGUUACAGUUUCUAAUGGGGUUGAAUGAUAGUUAUUCACAAGCUAGGGGUCAAAUCUUAAUGAUGCACACCUUGCCUAAUGUGAAUCAAGCUUAUGCACUAAUAAUCCAGGAUGAAAGUCAGAAGGGAAUUGCAGGUCACAUUAGUGAAGGGAUGGAGUCCUUAGCUCUUUACACUGCUAGAAACAAUAAGCAGCAGCAGUAUCCCAGGAAGAAUUUUCAGUCUCUGUAUUGUGAUUUCUGCAACAUGAAAGGGCAUGUUAGGGCAGACUGUAACAAACUAAAGAAAUGUGACCAUUGUCAUGCUACUGGGCAUGUCAAAGGGGAUUGCUACCAAUUGAUUGGUUAUCUUGACAAUUUUAAAGGAAAGAAGAAGGUUAAUGCUGUGCUUGGAGGUAUGCAAGAUCACUUAGCAAUGGGAGGAGGUACAAUAUAUUCUCAGUCACAUUGUGUGCAGGAUCAAGUGGAUAGGAAGGCAUACAUGGGCAUAGAAGAACCAAUGCACAAUACCCAGGGCACACAUGAACAAAUACUAUUACAGCUGUUACACAAAUCUUCACCAGAUCAAAUUAAUACUAUGAUUGAUGCCUUGAAGAAAAACAGUUGCAGCAGCAGCAGUGUGAAUAUGACAGGUAAUCCUAGUUUAUGUUUGAAAUGGAUUAUAGACACAGGAGCUACAGAUCAUAUGAUAUGUGAUCACAACUAUUUGUAUGCUGGGAAUAUGGUAAAAAGUACAUGCAAAGUACAGCUACCUACAGGGGAUUUGGCCACAGUUACACAUAUUGGAAGUUUUCAACUAAAUGAGAGUGACCUGAUCAGUGAUGUCUUGUGCAUACCAGAUUUUAAGUUUAACCUCUUAUCUGUGAACAAACUAACAAAAGAAUUAAACUGCUCUGUUUCCUUCUUUCCCACACACUGUGUAUUUCAGGAUCUCUUGUCUGGGAAGGUCAAGGGGAUUGGUGAGGUGGAGGAUGGAUUAUAUGUACUACACUGGAGAGCAAUACCACAAAAGGCACUGUCUGCCGCCAGCAGAUUAGAUGAAGAUCCUGCACUUUGGCAUCAAAGGUUGGGACAUGUUCCUAUGAGAGUACUUAGAAGAAUAAAAGAGUUUAAGACUCAUGAUAGUUUUUCUAUUGAUUACUGCAUUAUCUGUCCACAAGCUAGACAAACUAGAGUCCCUUUUCCAAUAAGUAACACCAAAGUAGAUGUUGUUUUUGACUUAGUACAUAUGGAUGUCUGGGGUCCAUAUAAGAUAGCUACUCAUCAUGGAAUGAAGUAUUUUCUUACUUUAGUUGAUGAUAAGUCUAGGUGGACAUGGACUUUCCUAAUUCAUUUGAAAUCUGAUGUAAUUGUUGUACUGAAACAAUUUCUAGCAAUGAUAAAGAAUCAGUUUGGGAAAUGUGUCAAGGUGUUCAGGUCUGAUAAUGGAGGAGAGUUUAUGAGUUCUAACUGUCAUGAUUUAUUUGCAUUGCAUGGGAUCAUUCACCAAAGAUCUUGUUCACAUACUCCACAACAAAAUGGAGUUGUAGAAAGGAAGCAUAGACACUUGUUAGAGACAUCAAGAUCUAUCAAAAUUCAAGGGCACUUGCCAGAUAGAUUUUGGGGUGAAUGCAUAGAAGCUGCAACAUAUAUCAUAAAUAGAGUACCUCUUAUAGUUUUGGGAAACAUGUCACCAUAUGAACUGAUGUUUGGCAAACAACCUUCUUUAACUCACCUGAGAGUGAUAGGGUGUUUGGCAUUUGCUACUAGUUUGAGGAAGGAUGAUAAGUUUGCCCCAAAGGCUAGAAAGGCUGUGCUACUUGGGUAUGCUGUCAAUCAGAAGGGAUAUAAAUUGCUAGACAUUGAGUCAAGGGUUAUUUUUGUCAGCAGAGAUGUCAUAUUUUAUGAAAGGAAAUUUCCAUUUCAAUUAUCAAGUUCAGGAGAUACUACUGAUCCAAUAUUUCCUAUGCUCAACUCACAUGUAGAAGAUUGUGAGCUUACUCCAUGUAUUAUAAGCAGAAAUGACACUAUUUGUUCUAAUGAUGAAGGCCAACCUAAUGACAGUCAAGUUUGUGAAUCACACAACACAUGUGUUUCCCCUGAUGUUGCAGUUCCUCAGGAUAAUCAGGCUUCUCAGCCUGAUGAUAUGUCGCAGAACCAGACCACAUCAUCAGUCUUACCUAAUGUUGUUGUUCCUGCUGUUGUUGUUAGAAAAUCAAAUAGACCUGCUAAGCCUCCUUUGUGGCACACAGACUAUGUUUUGUCCAAGAAGUUAGCUGGUAAUUGCUUGUAUCCCAUUGGAGAUGUGGUUGAUUAUGAGAGCAUCACACCAACUUAUAGAACCUUUGUUACUAAGAUAUCUCAAGAAAAGGAACCUGCAUCUUAUCGGGAAGCCAUACAGGAUCCAAGGUGGAUUGAAGCUAUGCAGAAUGAAAUCCAUGCUUUGGAAGAAAAUCACACUUGGAAGCUCACUCAGCUGCCUAAAGAUAAAAAGGCCAUAGGGUGUAAAUGGGUGUACAAGGUGAAGUAUAAGGCUAAUGGAGAGGUAGAUAGAUUUAAAGCUCGGUUGGUAGCUAAGGGUUACAACCAAAGAGAAGGAUUGGAUUAUCAAGAAACAUUUUCUCCUGUUGUGAAGAUGGGGACUGUUCGAGCUGUCAUAAGCUUGGCUGCUGCACAUCACUGGCAAAUACAUCAAAUGGAUGUUUUUAAUGCUUUUCUUCAAGGUGACUUAAAUGAAGAAGUAUACAUGGAGUUACCUAUGGGAUUUGGGCAUAACAGUGAGAGGGGGAUAGUGUGUAAACUCACCAAGUCACUGUAUGGACUCAAGCAGGCAAGUAGGCAAUGGAACAUCAAGCUAACCAUGGCUUUAGCUAAUUCUUGUUUCCAGCAGAGCCAUUACGAUUACUCUUUAUUCACAAAGCAUCGAGGUGAGAGCUUGGUAAUGGUAUUGGUGUAUGUUGAUGAUUUGUUGAUCACAGGGAAUGAUCGCAAACUAAUCCUAGAAACAAAGAAGGCUCUCAAAGACAAUUUUAAAAUCAAGGAUUUGGGGGAGUUGAGAUAUUUCUUAGGAAUUGAGUUUGCCAGAAAUGCAACAGGGAUUCUUAUGCACCAAAGAAAGUAUUGCCUUGAACUUAUCUCAGAUAUGGGGUUGUCCAGCUCUAAUCCUGUUGGAGCACCUAUUGAACUAAAUCAGAAACUUACAACUACAUAAUUUGAUGUGCAUUUUCCUCCCACUGAUGAGAAUUAUAAACUAUUAAGUGAUCCUACUAUUUACCAGAAGUUGGUGGGAAGGCUACUUUAUUUGACUAUUACAAGGCCAGAUAUAGCAUUUACAAUACAACUUCUAAGUCAGUUUAUGCAUAAUCCCAAUACAUCACACAUGGAUGCAGCAAUAAGGGUAGUCAAGUAUGUUAAACAAUCACCAGGGUUGGGAAUUCUUAUGAGUACCAAUGUGGAUAAUCAACUAACUGCAUAUUGUGAUGCAGAUUGGGCAUCCUGUCCAAACAACAAGAAGUCUAUUACUGGUUACAUGGUCACAUAUGGAAAAUCUUUGAUAUCAUGGAAGUCCAAGAAGCAAAACACUAUAUCGAGGAGCUCAGCUGAGGCUGAAUACAGGAGUUUGGCAUCAACAGUUGCAGAAAUUGUGUGGCUAAUAGGACUGUUCAAAGAACUAGGAGUGCAGAUGAAGAUGCAUGUGCCUAUUUAUAGUGAUAGCAAAUCAGCAAUACAGAUUGCAGCCAACCCAGUCUUCCAUGAGCGUACAAAACACAUAGACAUUGAUUGCCAUUUCAUCAGAGAGAAGGUUCAACUAGGAUUGGUUCAACCUAUGUACUUGAAGACAACAGAGCAACCUACAGACUUACUCACCAAAGGAUUAACUUGUGUGCAACAUGCGUAUCUACUUACCAAGCUAGGAAUGAAGAAUGUUUUUCAUACACCUAGCUUGAGGGAGGAUGUUGAGAAGCUAGUAAAAUGUACAUAUGUCACUUAGUUCUAACAGACUAGUUAAGUAAGUUAACAAAUUUAGUUUGUUAGAAUCUGUUAGUUUGUUUGCUUAUUAACUGACUGCAUAUAUAGAUGAGAUAGUAUUAGAAUGAAUGCAGUAGUAAGAAUGAUUCUCUUGUAAAGACUUUCAGUGUUGAAGAAGAAGUUUUCUCUCCA